AUACAUAAAAGUUCAGUAAAAUAGUUUUAAAGCAAUCUAAGCCUUCUGAACUUAUUACAACUAAACAUCUUCACCAUAAAUCAUCUAUUCUUCAUACCUGAAGUGCCGAGCUUUCCGAAUGAGUUUUUGUUCUCCAAUUUGAAUUUUUUCUUCAAACAUCCGCGAUCAAUUCUUCAAGACUCCAUUCAACUUUACGAAAUCCGCCAACCUAUAAAAUCCUUAACAAUCUCCCUCUUUGGCGAUUUCGUGACAAAAGAACAUUACAAAGCUCGUACACAACUCAGAAACAAUAAAAAGAAGAUCAUCGCAAUCACCAAACGACAAUCUCCUGCAUGAUCGAUCCAAUAAACAAAAAUUAUAUUUUUCAAACCUUAAUACAGACUCUAUGACUUAGACAU
RNAcentral lists this long non-coding RNA (398 nucleotides) under Ananas comosus (pineapple). RNAcentral's name for it is "long non-coding RNA (ACOM_LNC036424)". The record is from RNAcentral. Lineage: Eukaryota; Viridiplantae; Streptophyta; Magnoliopsida; Poales; Bromeliaceae.